GGCCCAUUAGCUCAGUUGGUCAGAGCGUCGCGCUAAUGACGCGAAGGUCGUGGGUUCGAUCCCCUCAUGGGCCA
This 74-nucleotide transfer RNA is filed under the name Eumeta japonica. It matches the Rfam family "tRNA". From Rfam's summary of the family: Transfer RNA (tRNA) molecules are approximately 80 nucleotides in length. Their secondary structure includes four short double-helical elements and three loops (D, anti-codon, and T loops). The record is from Rfam by way of RNAcentral. Lineage: Eukaryota; Metazoa; Arthropoda; Insecta; Lepidoptera; Psychidae.